GCACCAAAACUAUGCAUAUGUACAGGAGUAGGAGUGGACCUCACCCCUGCCGGUGUAACUGGAAACGCAGGUGCCCCGAACACGUAGGAUGGGCUACCAAAUGACGGGACCGGGGCCUGUAGCGGAGGUGUGGUGUACUGAUCGGUCAGGAAUGACAUGUCAGGACGAUAAACAUCUCGAUCAGCAAACUGGUAUGACUCCUGAAGUGGAGGAGAAACAUGUGUGUGCCCACCACUAGGAGAGGUGUCCUCGUCAGCCCCUAAAUUCACCGCAAAACCACCAUCACCACCUACGUAGUCAUCCCCUGCAGUCUCAGUUGCCACCUCGGUCCAACGGGGCCAUUCCCCCGCCCCUGAAGGAGCCCGUGCAUCCCUAUCUGGCGCAGUAGAGGUGCCAACAUGGUGCGACCAGCUACUACUGCCCACAUGAGUGUAGUAAGUGCCAGGCUCCGGCUCAACUGGUGUGACAGGACGCCGACCUCUGCGUGUCGGAGGGCCUCCGUAACCCCUGACACGAGCAAUCACCCCUGUAGCAGACUCUGUGCCCGAUUGAGAUCGGGAGCAGCAGGGUCAAUGGCAGAGUCCACCUCUAGAAGCUGCUCCUCCUGUUACCAAACAUAAACAUGCAAAGAGAAGUCAGGCCGAGAAUACAUUCUAGAUGACAUAACAUAUGCAGUAGAACAAAAGUAAUUGUGGAAGACAGUAAAAGUAGUUGUUUACCAAUGACUGUGUGGCGCCCUGUGUCCCCUGAAAAGCAUCCGCUCUACGCCAGAACAAUGGGUUAACCAUGUAUCUACGUGUAACCUGGAGGUACCAAGGCAUGUAUGCGGGAGAGCAACCAUUGCCCAAAAUGAAUGGCGGAGAUGUCAUAGCUCGGGCAAGAG
Molecule: long non-coding RNA, 883 nt
Filed under: Daucus carota (carrot)
Lineage: Eukaryota; Viridiplantae; Streptophyta; Magnoliopsida; Apiales; Apiaceae
Description: long non-coding RNA (DCAR_LNC005141)
Source: RNAcentral